CGCACCUUGCGCUCUUUGGUAUUCCGAAGAGCAUGCCUGUUUGAGUGUCAUGUUUUCUCUCAAUCCUGUCUGGUUGUUUAUCAGGCAUGGAUUGGAAUUGGAGGUCUGCUGGCUCUCGUAGUAAAGCUCCUCUAAAAUGCAGUAGUGUGGAUGUUUGCCGCAUGUUUACCGGUGUGAUAAUUGUCUACGCCGCAUGAACAGAGGUAAUAUAUAUAUCUAUGCUUCUAACCGUCUCUUGUGGACAAUAUACUUGACAUUUGACCUCAAAUCAGGUAGGAUUACCCGCUGAACUUAA
This 295-nucleotide unclassified non-coding RNA is filed under the name Polyporales sp. Its description in RNAcentral is "partial contains 5.8S ribosomal RNA, internal transcribed spacer 2, and large subunit ribosomal RNA". Lineage: Eukaryota; Fungi; Basidiomycota; Agaricomycetes; Polyporales. The record is from RNAcentral.